This 327-nucleotide long non-coding RNA is filed under the name Monodelphis domestica (gray short-tailed opossum). RNAcentral describes it as "lncRNA (ENSMODG00000037797.1)". Lineage: Eukaryota; Metazoa; Chordata; Mammalia; Didelphimorphia; Didelphidae. The record is from RNAcentral.
AUGACAGGUUUCUCCUCACAGCUGGAGAACUGUCUCAUGUUAGCUUUUUUAGCUCUAAAGGCCCAGAGAGAAACCAGGAGCACUAUUGCUGUAUGUGGUGGGAGACCAGCAGUCAAAGACAUGGAUCUAAAGCAUGGACACCAAAGAACAGUCUCUAAAGGAAGUCCAGAUGCUAAAUGGGAGAAAUCAAAGAAUGCUGGAGUGGGAAGGAACCACAGAGAAUUCAAUGGCGUCAUUUUACAGACAUGCAGUUGGGAGGAAGGUACUGAAACAAAGGGAGAUACUAAGGACACUAAGACAUCUGUUCCAAUGAAAAAUGAGAAAUAA